This 268-nucleotide ribosomal RNA is filed under the name Hanusia phi. Its description in RNAcentral is "partial Eukaryotic large subunit ribosomal RNA". It matches the Rfam family "Eukaryotic large subunit ribosomal RNA", at positions 1609 to 1877 of the family's 3401-position model. Lineage: Eukaryota; Cryptophyceae; Pyrenomonadales; Geminigeraceae. The record is from RNAcentral.
GUUAAAAUUCCGUAACCGAGAUGUAGAUUCUGAACGGCAACGUAAAUGAACUUGGAGACGCCGGUGAGGGCCCUGGGAAGAGUUAUCUUUUCUCCUUUACAACUUAUAACCUUGGAAUCGGAUUAUCCGGAGAUAAGGUCUAAUGGUUGGUAGAGCACUGCUAUUCUGUAGUGUCCGGUGCGUCCUCAACGGCCCUUGAAAAUCCGAGGGAAUGAAAAAGUCUUACACUCGAUCGUACCCAUAUCCGCAUCAGGUCCCCAAGGUGAUC